Non-coding RNA from Cucurbita pepo subsp. pepo (vegetable marrow), 492 nucleotides. NCBI's taxonomy places the organism in Eukaryota, Viridiplantae, Streptophyta, Magnoliopsida, Cucurbitales, Cucurbitaceae. The record is from RefSeq and is a predicted model, not a curated record.
UUAGAUCGGCGAGUGCCUUGGGAUGUGGUGGAGGCCUGACUUUGAAACCUUUGAUCCACACUUGUCCAGUAAUGUAAAAGGCGCCAAGGAGUGCACUAAACUCUUCCUGGUCAAGCUGCCGGAGAAUCGAGAAUUCUUCGUGCCAAAGAACCUCAAGUUGAUAGCAGUUCCUUUAUGCCAGAUUCAAAAAAGCCAUGAGGUAUCCUUAUCAACACACUUUAUGGAAGUCCAAUUUAUCACGUUUGCAAAUCUUAGUUUUUCCUUGAAAGAUUGAAAGAAAAAGGAAAGACGGUUCAAUUUUGUUGGGGAAAUUCUUGAAAUAAAUCUCUAUUGGGUUCAUAGGGCAUUAGAGGUCGGAUUAGGAUUUUUUAAAAUGGAAUAGUAAACUUUUUCAACUUAAUCCAUCUUUAUUAGAUAUUGAUCCUAACCCAACUAACUUGGUUUAGGUGGUUCUAGUUUAGAUCAUUUAUUCUUUUUUUUUUUUUUUUUUUU